This 884-nucleotide ribosomal RNA is filed under the name uncultured bacterium. Its description in RNAcentral is "bacterial SSU rRNA". It matches the Rfam family "Bacterial small subunit ribosomal RNA", at positions 31 to 896 of the family's 1533-position model. The record is from RNAcentral.
GAACGCUGGCGGCGUGCCUAAUACAUGCAAGUCGAGCGAACAGACGAGGAGCUUGCUCCUCUGACGUUAGCGGCGGACGGGUGAGUAACACGUGGAUAACCUACCUAUAAGACUGGGAUAACUUCGGGAAACCGGAGCUAAUACCGGAUAACAUGUUGAACCGCAUGGUUCAACAGUGAAAGACGGUCUUGCUGUCACUUAUAGAUGGAUCCGCGCCGCAUUAGCUAGUUGGUAAGGUAACGGCUUACCAAGGCAACGAUGCGUAGCCGACCUGAGAGGGUGAUCGGCCACACUGGAACUGAGACACGGUCCAGACUCCUACGGGAGGCAGCAGUAGGGAAUCUUCCGCAAUGGGCGAAAGCCUGACGGAGCAACGCCGCGUGAGUGAUGAAGGUCUUCGGAUCGUAAAACUCUGUUAUUAGGGAAGAACAAAUGUGUAAGUAACUAUGCACGUCUUGACGGUACCUAAUCAGAAAGCCACGGCUAACUACGUGCCAGCAGCCGCGGUAAUACGUAGGUGGCAAGCGUUAUCCGGAAUUAUUGGGCGUAAAGCGCGCGUAGGCGGUUUUUUAAGUCUGAUGUGAAAGUCCACGGCUCAACCGUGGAGGGUCAUUGGAAACUGGAAAACUUGAGUGCAGAAGAGGAAAGUGGAAUUCCAUGUGUAGCGGUGAAAUGCGCAGAGAUAUGGAGGAACACCAGUGGCGAAGGCGGCUUUCUGGUCUGUAACUGACGCUGAUGUGCGAAAGCGUGGGGAUCAAACAGGAUUAGAUACCCUGGUAGUCCACGCCGUAAACGAUGAGUGCUAAGUGUUAGGGGGUUUCCGCCCCUUAGUGCUGCAGCUAACGCAUUAAGCACUCCGCCUGGGGAGUACGACCGCAAGGGUG